RNAcentral lists this transfer RNA (71 nucleotides) under Cordylochernes scorpioides. RNAcentral's name for it is "tRNA-Gly". Lineage: Eukaryota; Metazoa; Arthropoda; Arachnida; Pseudoscorpiones; Chernetidae. The record is from RNAcentral.
UGCAUCGGCCAGGAAUCGAACCCGGGCCGCCCGCGUGGCUGGCGAGCAUUCUACCACUGAACCACCGAUGG